GGUGUAGCUCAGUUGGUAGAGCUUGUCUCGCAAGCACAAGGCCCUGGGUUUAAUCCCCAUUACCA
This 65-nucleotide transfer RNA is filed under the name Marmota monax (woodchuck). RNAcentral describes it as "tRNA.Cys". The record is from RNAcentral. Lineage: Eukaryota; Metazoa; Chordata; Mammalia; Rodentia; Sciuridae.